UUCUGCUUCCAUCUCUGCAAUCUGCAUCUCUGCGUCUGCCUCUGCGAGCGACUGCCUGCUUGCAUCUCUGGAAGCGGUGGAAGUGAUCGGCAACUGCCUGACUGCAAUCUGCAUCUCCGCCUCUGCCUUGCCUUGCGACCUCACUGAGUCAUUGCUUACCAGCUAAUAUGUUUUUUUUAACUCCAAUUACCAACAAUACCAGUUCCAAAACCAAAAGUUGGUGUAGGAAGGAAAGGCAACUAAUCCUGUGAUGAUUGAGGAAAAUAUGGAGGAAAUCCAGGUGGCUGAGCACCAUAAGGAACCAUUGGAACUGCAGUAAUCCUGCCUCCAGUGCUAGGAGAUUCAACAUCAGAAGACUGUGAAAUAGAUGGACCAUUUUUAAAUUGUGAACUCCUUGAAGACCUAGAACCACCAUGCAUGUAUAAAGCUGACAUACUAUCAGAUAAAGAGUUUAUGGCAAUGUUAUUUUCUCUUUCAGCACCAAGAAGCAAAGCUUUUAAUUAUUUCAUAGAAAUAGAGGUAUCUUUUGCAAA
RNAcentral lists this small RNA (533 nucleotides) under Malus domestica (apple). Its description in RNAcentral is "sRNA MD15G0323100". Lineage: Eukaryota; Viridiplantae; Streptophyta; Magnoliopsida; Rosales; Rosaceae. The record is from RNAcentral.